AAGUCGUAACAAGGUAUCUGUAGGUGAACCUGCAGAUGGAUCAUUCUUGUAACUGUUCGUAGGGCUUCGGCUCUACUUACUAAACAACCACUGUGAACACUAAACUUUAAAAGUGACCUAGUUGCGUUGGUACUCUUUAGGGGGUACCAACCAGAUGCAGGCACUUGGGGCUUUUUAACCUAACAAAUUCAUUAAUGCCUAAAAACAAAAAUAAUUUAAUACAACCUUUAACAAUGGAUCUCUUGGCUCCU
Molecule: unclassified non-coding RNA, 251 nt
Filed under: fungal sp.
Lineage: Eukaryota; Fungi
Description: partial internal transcribed spacer region
Rfam family: Eukaryotic small subunit ribosomal RNA (bases 1-46)
Source: RNAcentral